GACGAACGCUGGCGGCGUGCUUAACACAUGCAAGUCGAACGGAAAGGCCCUGCUUUUGUGGGGUGCUCGAGUGGCGAACGGGUGAGUAACACGUGAGUAACCUGCCCUUGACUUUGGGAUAACGUCAGGAAACUGGGGCUAAUACCGGAUAGGAGCUCCUGCUGCAUGGGGGGGGUUGGAAAGUUUCGGCGGUUGGGGAUGGACUCGCGGCUUAUCAGCUUGUUGGUGGGGUAGUGGCUUACCAAGGCUUUGACGGGUAGCCGGCCUGAGAGGGUGACCGGCCACAUUGGGACUGAGAUACGGCCCAGACUCCUACGGGAGGCAGCAGUGGGGAAUAUUGCACGAUGGGCGGAAGCCUGAUGCAGCAACGCCGCGUGCGGGAUGACGGCCUUCGGGUUGUAAACCGCUUUCGCCUGUGACGAAGCGUGAGUGACGGUAAUGGGUAAAGAAGCACCGGCUAACUACGUG
This 468-nucleotide ribosomal RNA is filed under the name uncultured bacterium. RNAcentral describes it as "partial 16S ribosomal RNA". It matches the Rfam family "Bacterial small subunit ribosomal RNA", at positions 28 to 507 of the family's 1533-position model. The record is from RNAcentral.